This 207-nucleotide ribosomal RNA is filed under the name uncultured bacterium. RNAcentral's name for it is "partial 16S ribosomal RNA". It matches the Rfam family "Bacterial small subunit ribosomal RNA", at positions 568 to 774 of the family's 1533-position model. The record is from RNAcentral.
CGCGCAGGCGGGUUGGCAAGUCAGAGGUGAAAUCCUACAGCUUAACUGUAGAACUGCCUUUGAGACUGCUAAUCUUGAGUACGGAAGAGAGAGAUGGAAUUCCAGGUGUAGUGGUGAAAUACGUAGAUAUCUGGAAGAACACCAGUGGCGAAGGCGAUCUCUUGGUCCUUUACUGACGCUAAGGCGCGAAAGCGUGGGGAGCAAACA